AUUGAACGCUGGCGGCAGGCCUAACACAUGCUAGUCGAGCGAGCGGCGGACGGGUGAGUAAUGUAUGGGGAUUUGCCCGAUAGCGGGGGAUAACUACUGGAAACGGUGGCUAAUACCGCAUACUAUCGGAUGAACCCCAAUGUGAUUAGCUAGUAGGGUGGGUAAAGGCUCACCUAGGCGACGAUCUCUAGCUUGUCUGAGAGGAUGAUAAGCCACGCUUGGACUGAGACACGGCCCAGACUCCUACGAGAGACUGCAGUGGGGAAUAUGUAACAAUGGGCGAAAGCCUGAUGCAGCCAUGCCGCGUGGAUGAAGAGUGCCUUAGGGUUGUAAAGUACUUUCAGCGGGGAGGCGUUACCCGCAGAAGAAGCACCGGCUAACUCCGUGCCAGAGCCGCGGUAAUUC
This 405-nucleotide ribosomal RNA is filed under the name uncultured bacterium. RNAcentral's name for it is "partial 16S ribosomal RNA". It matches the Rfam family "Bacterial small subunit ribosomal RNA", at positions 30 to 526 of the family's 1533-position model. The record is from RNAcentral.